UCAGUUCUUCACACAAACAAACCAGUACCAGAUCCCCCCCUCCUUUCCGUCAUCUUCAAUUCUUUAUCUUUUCCUCUGAUUGACGAGACUGCAUUAAAUCAAUGGAAAAAGAUUACACAAACAAGAUAUUUAGAGAUCAAUCAGGCUUAAAGUUAAAACAGGGGCGGAAAAAUAUCUUAUUAAUUAAGCAGUUUGCUGGUUGGAAAGUGGUCUGGUCUCUGUUAUCAGCUUGCCUACCAAAGAUUCUGUUAAAUCUAUUAUAAUUUGACCUACAUCUGAAGCAGCAGCACUUCCCUUCCUUUCCACGUUAUCAGAACAAAACUAGGAAUGUAGACGACGCAGACGUGUCAUUGUUGGACAGCUGGAUGGGUUGAGAUGAGGCCACGUUUCUUUGACAACACGUGGCAGUUCCAAUAAUCGUUGCUUCUUGCUGUAUGAUAUAGUGCGCCAAGCAUCUAAUUGGCAUCAAAACUGCAUUUAGCUACAUGAGAAUACAACAUUACUAGAGUCUGUUCCUAGUCUCCAUGUUCUAC
Molecule: long non-coding RNA, 533 nt
Filed under: Linum usitatissimum (flax)
Lineage: Eukaryota; Viridiplantae; Streptophyta; Magnoliopsida; Malpighiales; Linaceae
Description: long non-coding RNA (LUSI_LNC005779)
Source: RNAcentral